UACUGUUGGUGAUGAUUGGUUUUUAAGCAAUGGGAAUCUCUCUGAAAGAGGAUGAGGAGGACUCUUAAACUGAAACAGUA
This 80-nucleotide small nucleolar RNA is filed under the name Tinamus guttatus (white-throated tinamou). RNAcentral describes it as "Small nucleolar RNA SNORD79". It matches the Rfam family "Small nucleolar RNA SNORD79". Rfam says of the family: snoRNA U79 or Z22 is found in intron 7 of the gas5 gene in humans and is also present in mice. U79 is a member of the C/D class of snoRNA which contain C (UGAUGA) and D (CUGA) box motifs. Most of the members of the C/D box family function in directing site-specific 2'-O-methylation of substrate RNAs. The record is from Rfam by way of RNAcentral. Lineage: Eukaryota; Metazoa; Chordata; Aves; Tinamiformes; Tinamidae.